This 504-nucleotide ribosomal RNA is filed under the name uncultured bacterium. RNAcentral describes it as "bacterial SSU rRNA". It matches the Rfam family "Bacterial small subunit ribosomal RNA", at positions 8 to 524 of the family's 1533-position model. The record is from RNAcentral.
AGAGUUUGAUCCUGGCUCAGAAUCAACGCUGGCGGCGUGCCUCAGACAUGCAAGUCGAACGAUUAAACUUUCCUUCGGGAAAGAUAUAAAGUGGCGCACGGGUGAGUAACACGUAGGUAAUCUACCUUUGAGUGGGGAAUAACUUAGGGAAACUUAAGCUAAUACCGCAUAAUGCAGCGGCACCGCAAGGUGACAGUUGUUAAAGGAGCAAUCCGCUUAAAGAGGAGCCUGCGGCAGAUUAGCUAGUUGGUAAGGUAAUGGCUUACCAAGGCUACGAUCUGUAACCGACCUGAGAGGGUGGUCGGUCACACUGACACUGAAUAACGGGUCAGACUCCUACGGGAGGCAGCAGUCGGGAAUUUUGGGCAAUGGGCGAAAGCCUGACCCAGCAACGCCGCGUGAAGGAUGAAGUAUUUCGGUAUGUAAACUUCGUAAAAAUAGGAAGAAUAAAUGACGGUACUAUUUGUAAGGUCCGGCUAACUACGUGCCAGCAGCCGCGGUAAU